UAUACCUUACUUUUAGUUCUAAGAACCCAACCUAAAUAAAUAAUAUACUAAAUUCAUGUUAUAUACAUAAAUCAAAUCAUCUAUUAAAAAAUAUUAACAAAAUAUAGCAAAGCAACAUAAAAUGAGUUAGACUUUCAGGAAACAUACCAUUUAUUUAUGCUUAGCAAUUAUCUUCUCCGAACUCUUUCGUCUCUUUGUUAAUCUUGUCUCUCCAUAUAUCCAAACAAAGAUGAACAUGACCAAUAAAA
Molecule: long non-coding RNA, 248 nt
Filed under: Lathyrus oleraceus (garden pea)
Lineage: Eukaryota; Viridiplantae; Streptophyta; Magnoliopsida; Fabales; Fabaceae
Description: Pisum sativum (pea) long non-coding RNA (PSAT_LNC023310)
Source: RNAcentral